This is a non-coding RNA of Bos taurus (domestic cattle), 72 nucleotides long. Lineage: Eukaryota; Metazoa; Chordata; Mammalia; Artiodactyla; Bovidae. The record is from Rfam.
UCCCAGGUGGCUCAGUGGUAAAGAAUCUGCCUGCCAAUGCAGAAGGCUUGGGUUUGAUUCCUGGUCUGGGAA